RNAcentral lists this ribosomal RNA (522 nucleotides) under Filobasidium floriforme. RNAcentral describes it as "eukaryotic LSU rRNA". It matches the Rfam family "Eukaryotic large subunit ribosomal RNA", at positions 149 to 659 of the family's 3401-position model. Lineage: Eukaryota; Fungi; Basidiomycota; Tremellomycetes; Filobasidiales; Filobasidiaceae. The record is from RNAcentral.
UCUAUAGAAGUGUUUUCCGUGCUGGCUCAUGUACAAGUCCCUUGGAACAGGGCGUCAUAGAGGGUGAGAAUCCCGUCCUUGACAUGAACUACCAGUGCUCUGUGAUACAUUUUCAACGAGUCGAGUUGUUUGGGAAUGCAGCUCAAAAUGGGUGGUAAAUUCCAUCUAAAGCUAAAUAUUGGCGAGAGACCGAUAGCGAACAAGUACCGUGAGGGAAAGAUGAAAAGCACUUUGGAAAGAGAGUUAAACAGUAUGUGAAAUUGUUGAAAGGGAAACGAUUGAAGUCAGUCGUGCUCUUUGGAUUCAGCCGGUUCUGCCGGUGUACUUCCUUUGAGUGGGGUCAACAUCAGUUUUGAUCGCUGGAUAAAGGCUGGAGGAACGUAGUACCCUCGGGUAAACUUAUAGCCUCCUGUCACAUACAGUGGUUGGGACUGAGGAACGCAGCACGCCUUUAUGGCCGGGAUUCGUCCACGUACGUGCUUAGGAUGUUGACAUAAUGGCUUUAAACGACCCGUCUUGAAA